RNAcentral lists this ribosomal RNA (329 nucleotides) under uncultured eukaryote. RNAcentral's name for it is "partial 18S ribosomal RNA". It matches the Rfam family "Eukaryotic small subunit ribosomal RNA", at positions 1470 to 1796 of the family's 1831-position model. The record is from RNAcentral.
CCCUUAGAUGUUCUGGGCCGCACGCGUGCUACACUGACCGGUGCAACAAGUUUCUUUCCUUGGCUCGAUAGGCCUGGGUAAUCUUUGAACACCGGUCGUGAUGGGGAUAGAUCCUUGCAAUUUUUGAUCUUCAACGAGGAAUUCCUAGUAAAUGCGAGUCAUCAUCUCGCGUUGAUUACGUCCCUGCCCUUUGUACACACCGCCCGUCGCUCCUACCGAUUGAAUGGUCCGGUGAAGCGUUCGGACCGUGGCCUUUGGACGGUUCGCCGUCUGUUGGCUGCGGGAAGUUCGUUAAACCUUAUCAUUUAGAGGAAGGAGAAGUCGUAACA